GCGGAAGGAUCAUUAUUGUUCCUUACCGUUAAUAUAAUAAAAUUUUUUCAUCAUUUUUUAAUAAUUUUAAAAGAUAUGUUAAGUUUUAUACAAAAAUUAAAUUGAAUUAAAUAUAAUAUCAAACAUAAACAGAUAUCUAUCAUAUGCUUCAAAUAGAUUAUUUAUUAUUAAGUUUUAAAUUACAUAUGUGUGGAAAUAUUAUACUUGAUAAUCAUAAAUAAUAAUUAUUAUUUUUAGUGCAUGAAUGUAUAAAUGUUAUAUGUUUUGAUAUUAAAACUUGCGUGUAUAUGGACCAUAGUAUACAUGCGUUGCAAAAUGUACUGGCCAUUUUUUAUUAAAUGAUCAUACAUUGGUUACGCAACAACCUAAAUUUAUAAUGUUGUACCUGAAUUAAGGUUAACGUUUCACAAAUAUUGAUUGUUAUACAAAUAUGUUAAAUUAUAUAUUGUGUUAAAUACCGUAUUACCAUCGAUUUUGUGAAUCUAAGACAUUUCGCAACAUUUUUUAGGUAUAAAAAUAUAUUUAUUGAAGGAAUUGAUAUAUGCCAGUAAAAUGGUGUAUUUUUAAUUUCUUUCAAUAAAAUUUUAUAUGACGUAAUGAAAUAAACAAACAAAUUUUAAUCACUCUAAGCGGUGGAUCACUCGGCUCAUGGGUCGAUGAAGAACGCAGCAAACUGUGCGUCAUCGUGUGAACUGCAGGACACAUGAACAUCGACAUUUUGAACGCAUAUCGCAGUCCAUGCUGUUAUGUACUUUAAUUAAUUUUAAAGUGCUGCUUGGACUACAUAUGGUUGAGGGUUGUAAGACUAUGCUAAAUAAGUUGUUUGAAAAGAAAAGGAUUCCUCUUCUUUUUAAGCAUAUGGUAUAUUACUGGAU
Molecule: unclassified non-coding RNA, 875 nt
Filed under: Drosophila busckii
Lineage: Eukaryota; Metazoa; Arthropoda; Insecta; Diptera; Drosophilidae
Description: sequence contains 18S rRNA gene, ITS1, 5.8S rRNA gene and ITS2
Rfam family: 5.8S ribosomal RNA (bases 622-800)
Source: RNAcentral